RNAcentral lists this ribosomal RNA (497 nucleotides) under uncultured bacterium. Its description in RNAcentral is "partial 16S ribosomal RNA". It matches the Rfam family "Bacterial small subunit ribosomal RNA", at positions 28 to 507 of the family's 1533-position model. The record is from RNAcentral.
GAUGAACGCUGGCGGCGUGCCUAAUACAUGCAAGUCGAGCGAACAGAUGAGGAGCUUGCUCCUCUGACGUUAGCGCCGGCCGGGUAGGUACCCGUUGAAUACCCUCCUAAUAGGCCGGGAAUACCUUCGGAAACCGGAAGCUAUUCCGGAAUAUUUAAUUAACCCGCAUGGUUAAUUGGUAAAGGCGGGUUUUCCUGUACCUUAUGGAGGAUUCCGCGCCGCAUUAGCUAGUUGGUAAGGUAACGGCUUACCAAGGCAACGAUGCGUAGCCGACCUGAGAGGGUGAUCGGCCACACUGGAACUGAGACACGGUCCAGACUCCUACGGGAGGCAGCAGUAGGGAAUCUUCCGCAAUAGGCGAAAGCCUGACGGAGCAACGCCGCGUGAGUGAUGAAGGUCUUCGGAUCGUAAAACUCUGUUAUUAGGGAAGAACAAAUGUGUAAGUAACUAUGCACGUCUUGACGGUACCUAAUCAGAAAGCCACGGCUAACUACGUG